GUAAAUUAAAUAAUUUUAGUUUAGUAUAAUUUUUAUAAAUUAAUAAAAUAAUAAUAAAUUUAUAUAUUUAAGUAAUAUUUUUAAAAAAUUAGUUAUUUUUAUAUUAAAAGUAUUGAAAAAGAAAAAUAAAAUUAUUUUAAAAAAAUUAUUUAAAUUUAAUUACCUUUUGUAUCAGGGUUUAUUAAAAUUAAUAAAUUUAUAGAUUUAUUUCUCGAAAUAAAAUGAUUUAAUUAAUUAAUAUAGUUAAUGUGUAAAUAUUAUUAUAAAUAAUUAAUUAGUAGUGAUAAAUUUAUCAACUUUUAUAUAUCUAGUUAUUUUAUAAAUAAAUUGAAUUUAAUUAAAAUUAUAUUUUAAUAAAUUAUUUAAUUAAUUUAUUAAAUAAUUUUAUAAAUAUUAUUAGGGAUAAACUUAAUAAUAAUAUUAAUAUAUAAAUUAUUUAUAAAUUAUAUUAUUAUAGAAAUAAAAAUUUUUAGUAAUAAAUAAUUUGUAAUAAUUAAAAUUUUAAAUAUAUAAUUUAAAUAAAAUUUAAUAGAUUAUAAAAUUAUUAAAUGAAAUUUUUUAAUUUAAGUAAUAAUGAUAAAAUUAGUAAAAUUAAAUUUAUAGAAUUAUAGAUUUAGUAUAGAUUAUUUUAAGGAAUUAGGCAAAUUUAUUUAUUCAACUGUUUAUUAAAAACAUAGUUUAAUAGAAUAUAAUAUUAAAUUAUUUCUGCUCAAUGAAUAUAUUUAAAUAGCUGCAGUAUUUUGACUGUACAAAGGUAGCAUAAUCAAUUGUCUUUUUAUUAAAGUCUAGAAUGAAAGAAUUCAUGAAAUAAUAACUGUCUCAAAAUAAAUAAAAUUUAAAAUUUAUUAUUAGUUAAAAUUCUAAUAUAUUAUUAAAAGACGAGAAGACCCUAUAGAAUUUUAUAAAUUUAUAAAUAUAAAAAUUUUUAAUUUUAUUUUAUUAUUGUAUAAAUUUAUUAUAUUGGGGGUAUAUAAAAAUUUAAAUAAUUUUUUAAAAAAAUAAACAAAAAUUUUUGUUUAAUUAUUAUCUAAUAUUAUUAAAUUUAAAUUAAAUUACCUUAGGGAUAACAGCGUUAAAUUUUUAAAGAGUUCAUAUUGAUAAAAAUUAUUGCGACCUCGAUGUUGAAUUAAAAUAAAUUAUUAUUGUAGAUAAUAAUAUAAUUUAGUCUGUUCGACUAUUAAAAUUUUACAUGAUUUGAGUUUAGAUCGGUGUAAGCCAGAUCGGAUUCUAUCUUUAAUUAAAUUAAAUAUUUUUGUACGAAAGGACUUAAUAUUUAUAAUAAUUAUAUAUAAUUUGAAUAAAAUUAAUAAA
This 1311-nucleotide ribosomal RNA is filed under the name Muscidifurax raptorellus. Its description in RNAcentral is "16S ribosomal RNA". Lineage: Eukaryota; Metazoa; Arthropoda; Insecta; Hymenoptera; Pteromalidae. The record is from RNAcentral.